This is a long non-coding RNA of Lemur catta (Ring-tailed lemur), 1962 nucleotides long. RefSeq lists it as uncharacterized. NCBI's taxonomy places the organism in Eukaryota, Metazoa, Chordata, Mammalia, Primates, Lemuridae. The transcript is spliced from 2 exons. The record is from RefSeq and is a predicted model, not a curated record.
AGUUUGCACGUUUUUCCUUUCCAACAAACAGAACAAAGUAACAAUCAAAAUAUUCCUGGGUUGUGAAGAUGUGGGCCAGAGUCAGGUAAGGUAGAAACAAAACCACAUCAAACGGCCUGUUCACUUCAAUGUUUCAGGACUGACCCAAGCCCCAGGCUUUAAAUGGACUGAGAGGUGGCAGAAGGGGUCCAAUAUAGCAUUGCUUACAGAUUCUCCACAUAAAGGCAAAAUCAAGGGCUUCACUUGUAACAGUGAUUUGAAAUCAUCCAGGCCGAAGCAUGCUCUUUGAGAUCCUUUUUCAAACUCAUGGCCGGCUGUGGUGCAACUGUGACACAUCCUGACCUGCGGACUCUAAGAGUUUGAGUCCCGUGUGUUACAAAUAGCUCAGUCUGGCAGCAGCCGAGAGAACAGUGCCAACACGUGUGCUCACUGGCCGGCGCGUCUGAAAUAAGCACUUUAUCAUGCCACAAACCUAAGUGCCCUUUAGUUAGUUCUAACAGGGCUGCUCUUGUGUUCCUGGGCAGCAACUGCAGGGCCAGGAAGGAACUUAAGUGGGUCUUCCGCAUUCCUCUGCAGCAGCUGUGCGGGCCUGUUUGCAGGAACUGGCUCCAUUCCAUCUCACUUUGAGACACUGGCUAUCACGGGCAGCCCGGCUCGUCCUCCACCAACGGUCUCAACACGUCCCCGGUCGGGGCGUGCAAGGAAGGGGCCUCUUCCGCGGGGCAAAGCCCGCACAGCCCUUGCCGGCGCAGGCUGCCGGGAGCUGGCACGAUCCCCGCGAGUCCUGGAGGAAGUCACGGCGGGCAGGACGCGGCUGACUGCCCUUCCAGACGGGCGGUCGAGGCACCGUGGGAGCGGGAAGGGAGGGGACGGAGGCUGCGUGUCUCGGGCCGCCGGGCUGUCCUCCCGCUCCUGCUGCUGCGCAUGCGCGGAGUCGGGAACGUUCCCAGGGCGGGGGCUGGGCCCAGGCAGGGGACAGGGAAAGGGGUUUCCAGCUCAUUGAUCGCACAUCCUUGACGCAGAGGAAGGGGAAGCAAAGCAUAUUAACACCCUGAGCUAAAAAUGGAGAAAUUAAAAAAAAAAAAAAAAAGCAUUAUAAAGGUUAUUUCCUUCCUUGUUUUUCACACGAGCCGCCACUGAGAACACAACAAGCCUUCGGUCUCCUCCGUACCUGGGGACACGAGUGACACGAAUGCGCGAACCCCCCCGGAUAAGCCCCAAAGCUCAUUCUUACCCGGGAGCCUCGGCCUCCUCUCUCCUCUCCACCCGUCGUCUGUCCCGGCUCCCGGCGAGGAGAAGGGUAAACUGAGGAAACGACACUGCGGCCCAGGCUCGUCCUCGCACAGAGGCGUGAGGACGGCGGCGGUCCCGAGGGUCACGCAGAAGGGGGGACCGUGCGCGACACGUUGCGGCAAGCGGGUUCUUCCGACAGAGAGAAAAAGUCCUCAAAAAUGCCGGGGCGGGACAGGAAAUCCGACCCAGCCCGGCUCCUCGACGGACGGUGAAGCGGAAGCGCCGAGGCGCCAGGGCCAUCCGGGUAGUUAGCAGCGAGGCCAGGCCGGAAGCUGGCGCACGUCACUUCCGGUCCGCGCCUGUCUGCGCCACACCCACUUCCGGCGUGGGUCUGAGACGCGCCGUCGCGCUCAGCCCGCGUCCCCCGGGGCCCUGCGAGGCGCCGGGCGCUGUGACGAGGCCUCCGGGCGCAUCCAGGGCCCACGAGCGCCCGUGUUCCCGCCUUGCGGGUGAGGACAGCGCGGCUCGGAGACGCUUAGUAGGUCAGCAAACUGCCCUUUCGUAGGGUUCCGCCUAAAAACAGGCCCCAGGUCGCACAGCAAGUUGGAUCAGGCUUAGACUUCAAACUCAGACGUCAGGACUCGGAUUUCAGUGCGAUUUCUGCUGCCCCCCGUUAAGCUGUAGACCCUUUUGCAGUAUUUUCUCUCAUUAAAUGGUUUUUUCAUGGUG